UGCUAAUGAAGCGUUCCAUGACGUUACUAACCGGCUUUCUUCCGUUGCUUCAGGACGUAUUUACAAGAACAUAACUGCUGCUUCAGGACCAUAGACCUUCUUAAUUAUUUGUCGGGGUAUCACAGCGAAGAUACAUUAAGGCGUGUUUACACUCCUCACAUCCCUGUCAGAGGAGAGGUCAGCCCGGCUCCUGGAAGUGAUGUGACCCUGUUACCGUGUUACCGCACGCGUUUUCAUCCAUUCUCACCUAGAGCACGUUGUGUCACUCCGUUACCCGGGAUGUCAGGGAGAAGUGGACGUGAAAUGGAACUGGGAGCUGCACACGGGUCGGGAAUCUGGGAUGGAUGUCAUAUUUAUUAAAUAAAACGUGACACUUAAGCAAUUUAA
Molecule: long non-coding RNA, 387 nt
Organism: Eleginops maclovinus (Patagonian blennie)
Lineage: Eukaryota; Metazoa; Chordata; Actinopteri; Perciformes; Eleginopidae
Exons: 2
Source: RefSeq, a predicted model, not a curated record